CUCUGAUGAGCUCUUGAUGACGAGUCUGAUUCGGCAUUGUCGAUGCAGACACAAUCUUUUAUUUACCAUUCAUGCAAACCUGAUC
Small nucleolar RNA from Pseudocercospora musae, 85 nucleotides. NCBI's taxonomy places the organism in Eukaryota, Fungi, Ascomycota, Dothideomycetes, Mycosphaerellales, Mycosphaerellaceae. The record is from Rfam.